RNAcentral lists this long non-coding RNA (1323 nucleotides) under Oryctolagus cuniculus (rabbit). RNAcentral describes it as "lncRNA (ENSOCUG00000034083.1)". Lineage: Eukaryota; Metazoa; Chordata; Mammalia; Lagomorpha; Leporidae. The record is from RNAcentral.
CUAAUGUGAAGUUCUGAGAAGCAAUAGAACUUUCAAGGACGAUGCAACAGGUGCUACCAUAAAUGGAUGUCCUGGUCAUGUACAAAUUUGAAGAAGAUUCAUGGAGGUGGAAGACUCUGGGUCUUGGGGCCACUUACCCAUUUUCCUCUCUGGAACUCAGUUCAGGAAACUGCUUUUCUACUGCUGAGAAAAAAAAAAAAAAAAAGAAGGAUGUAGGAACGAGAAGUAUGGUGUACAAAGGGACUGGACUGGGAUCCACAGGUCAGAAUAAAGGAGCUUGUGCAAAUGAUAUUCCCCAUAAGAAUGAUAUAAUGGACCGCUAGUCCAUAAUGACAUAUAUGAAGUAUAGCAAAUAUUUGUGGAAAAGGAAAUUAAAACAUAAGUUGCAGCAGACAUUUGGCCUGAUAGUGAAGCCACCGACUGAGAUUUUCAUAUCCCAUAUUGGAGUGUCUGGGUUCAGGUCCUGACUCCACUCCUGAUUCCAGCUUCCUGCUAGUGAGAAUUGGCAAGACAGAAGGUAAUUGCUCAAACAUUUGGUCUCCUGACACCUAUAUGAGAGACCGAGUUUAAGUCCCCAGCUCCCAUUCUGGCCUAGCCCCAGUCAUUGCAGCCAUUUGGAGAGUGAAUCAGCAGAUGAGAGCAUGCUCUCUCUACUUCCUGCUCUCUCUCUGUGUCUUUCAAAUAAGGUAAUAUAAAAAGAUAAACAAAUUUUGAAAUCCAUGAACAAUGAGGUUUUCAAAAAGCUCAUGGAAAAUGAGUAUUAUAAAAACAUUAUGCAUAGAUUUUAAUAUUUUUCAUCAAAAUAAGCUCAUCUUUUAAUCGCAUUUUCCACAAAUCUUUUAAAAUGUUGUGUGUCUCCCCAACCCUCAGAGGAAAAGACUGCAUUCAAACAAGAAAAAACUGCAUUUGCAGUGAGUCUCAGUCCUGCUCAUUAUCCCCCUCUUCUUUUUUUUUAACUUUCAUUUAACAAGUAUAAAUUUCAAAAGUAGAACUUUUGGAUUAUAGUGGCUUUUUCCCCCAUAAUCUCCCUCACACCCGCAACCAUCCCAUCUCCCAUUCCCUCUCCCAUCCUAUUCUUCAUCAAGAUUCAUUUUCAAUUAUCCUUAUAUACAGAAGAUCUACUUAGCAUUUACUAAGUAAAGAUUUCAACAGUUUGCACCCACACAGACACACAAAGUAUAGAGUACUGUUUGAGUACUAGUUUUACCGCCCCCUCUUCUUAACGUCACGUAGAAAUUUGUCUCCAUUGGGAACACUGGGUCCUCUGGAGUAAGGUCUGUGCAAGAUUGAAACUGCAUGGCAGACCGAUUUGUCCUCCUCUUU